GAUGAACGCUGGCGGCGUGCCUAAUACAUGCAAGUCGAGCGAACAGACGAGGAGCUUGCUCCUCUGACGUUAGCGGCGGACGGGUGAGUAACACGUGGAUAACCUACCUAUAAGACUGGGAUAACUUCGGGAAACCGGAGCUAAUACCGGAUAAUAUAUUGAACCGCAUGGUUCAAUAGUGAAAGACGGCUUUGCUGUCACUUAUAGAUGGAUCCGCGCCGCAUUAGCUAGUUGGUAAGGUAACGGCUUACCAAGGCAACGAUGCGUAGCCGACCUGAGAGAGUGAUCGGCCACACUGGAACUGAGACACGGUCCAGACUCCUACGGGAGGCAGCAGUAGGGAAUCUUCCGCAAUGGGCGAAAGCUUGACGGAGCAACGCCGCGUGAGUGAUGAAGGUCUUCGGAUCGUAAAACUCUGUUAUUAGGGAAGAACAAAUGUGUAAGUAACUAUGCACGUCUUGACGGUACCUAAUCAGAAAGCCACGGCUAACUACGUG
RNAcentral lists this ribosomal RNA (497 nucleotides) under uncultured bacterium. RNAcentral describes it as "partial 16S ribosomal RNA". It matches the Rfam family "Bacterial small subunit ribosomal RNA", at positions 28 to 507 of the family's 1533-position model. The record is from RNAcentral.